UACAGAGGGUGCGAGCGUUGUCCGGAAUCACUGGGCGUAAAGGGCGCGUAGGCGGGUUUUUAAGUCAGGGGUGAAAUCCUGGAGCUCAACUCCAGAACUGCCUUUGAUACUGAAGAUCUUGAGUUCGGGAGAGGUGAGUGGAACUGCGAGUGUAGAGGUGAAAUUCGUAGAUAUUCGCAAGAACACCAGUGGCGAAGGCGGCUCACUGGCCCGAUACUGACGCUGAGGCACGAAAGCGUGGGGAGCAAACAGG
RNAcentral lists this ribosomal RNA (253 nucleotides) under uncultured bacterium. RNAcentral's name for it is "partial 16S ribosomal RNA". It matches the Rfam family "Bacterial small subunit ribosomal RNA", at positions 524 to 776 of the family's 1533-position model. The record is from RNAcentral.